GUUUGGGGACAUAGGAGGGUGGGAAAGUAGGUGGCGCAAUAGUAGACUCAUGACUCUGCUCCCAAUCUCCUAUGUGGAUGGCAUCAACAUCAUCAGGAAGCUAAACAGUCUGGAAUGAUGAUUCCUCUGAAAGCCAUCUGCCCCAUCUGAUCAAUCAAACUCUGAAGGGAAGUUAAUUCUUGCUGAAACUGUUGAUACUGAGCUUUGGUUUCCUGUUGAAACUGCUUAUUCAGAGUAGUCAUAUGCUCUAAUAACUCCUUCAAUGUAGGGUCAGAAGUAGUGGAAAGAUGAGGAGCUCCUUGGGCAGGC
This 309-nucleotide long non-coding RNA is filed under the name Vigna radiata. RNAcentral's name for it is "long non-coding RNA (VRAD_LNC013918)". Lineage: Eukaryota; Viridiplantae; Streptophyta; Magnoliopsida; Fabales; Fabaceae. The record is from RNAcentral.